Peromyscus eremicus (cactus mouse) is the source of this 106-nucleotide small nuclear RNA. Lineage: Eukaryota; Metazoa; Chordata; Mammalia; Rodentia; Cricetidae. The record is from RefSeq and is a predicted model, not a curated record.
UGCUGGCUUCGGCAGCACAUAUAUUAAAGUUGGAAUGAUGCAGAGAAGAUUGGCAUGGCCCCUGUGCAAGGACGACAAGCAAAUUCAUGAAGUGGUCCAUAAAAAA